AAGCAUGUGCGCUCUCUCUCUCUCUCUCUCUCUCUCUCUCUCUCUCUCACACACACACACACAGAGAGAGAGAGAGAGAGAGAGAGAGAGAGACUGUUCUUUUG
Molecule: non-coding RNA, 104 nt
Organism: Podarcis lilfordi (Lilford's wall lizard)
Lineage: Eukaryota; Metazoa; Chordata; Lepidosauria; Squamata; Lacertidae
Source: the annotation of a GenBank genome assembly